GAUGAACGCUAGCGGCAGGCUUAAUACAUGCAAGUCGUGGGGCAGCACAGGUAGCAAUACUGGGUGGCGACCGGCAAACGGGUGCGGAACACGUACGCAACCUUCCUUUAAGUGGGGGAUAGCCCAGGGAAACUUGGAUUAAUACCCCGUAAGAUUGUGGUGUGGCAUCACACUACAAUGAAAGCUCCGGCACUUAAAGAUGGGCGUGCGGCUGAUUAGGUAGUUGGCGGGGUAACGGCCCACCAAGCCAACGAUCAGUAACUGGUGUGA
Molecule: ribosomal RNA, 270 nt
Filed under: uncultured bacterium
Lineage: Bacteria
Description: partial 16S ribosomal RNA
Rfam family: Bacterial small subunit ribosomal RNA
Source: RNAcentral